RNAcentral lists this ribosomal RNA (769 nucleotides) under Zhuliangomyces subillinitus. RNAcentral's name for it is "eukaryotic LSU rRNA". It matches the Rfam family "Eukaryotic large subunit ribosomal RNA", at positions 112 to 865 of the family's 3401-position model. The record is from RNAcentral. Lineage: Eukaryota; Fungi; Basidiomycota; Agaricomycetes; Agaricales; Amanitaceae.
AAUUUAAAAUCUGACAGUCUUUGACUGUUCGAGUUGUAAUCUAGAGAAGUGUUAUCCGUGCUGGACCGUGUACAAGUCUCCUGGAAUGGAGCGUCAUAGAGGGUGAGAAUCCCGUCUUUGACACGGACUGCCAGUACUUUGUGAUGCGCUCUCAAAGAGUCGAGUUGUUUGGGAAUGCAGCUCAAAAUGGGUGGUAAAUUCCAUCUAAAGCUAAAUAUUGGCGAGAGACCGAUAGCGAACAAGUACCGUGAGGGAAAGAUGAAAAGAACUUUGGAAAGAGAGUUAAACAGUACGUGAAAUUGUUGAAAGGGAAACGCUUGAAGUCAGUCGCACUGACCAGGGAUCAACUCAACUUUUUUGUUGGGCGUACUUCCUGGCUUAGUGGGUCAGCAUCAAUUUUGACCACUGGAAAAAGGCUAAGGGAAUGUGGCACCUUUGGGUGUGUUAUAGCCCUAGUUGUAUACAGUGGUUGGGAUUGAGGAACUCAGCACGCCGCAAGGCCGGGUCUUUGACUACGUUCGUGCUUAGGAUGCUGGCAUAAUGGCUUUAAUCGACCCGUCUUGAAACACGGACCAAGGAGUCUAACAUGCCUGCGAGUGUUUGGGUGGAAAACCCGAGCGCACAAUGAAAGUGAAAGUUGAGAUCCCUGUCAUGGGGAGCAUCGACGCCCAGACCUGAACUUUUGGGAUGGAUCUGCGGUAGAGCAUGUAUGUUGGGACCCGAAAGAUGGUGAACUAUGCCUGAAUAGGGUGAAGCCAGAGGAAACUCU